CCCAGUUCCCCUCCGCCCCCUCCCCCCAAACGCCAAAACCCGCGGCUCAGCGUCCGCCGAGGCGAAGCGGGGGCGCGCACACGCCGGGCGUGGGCUUCUCACACUCUCCAUUCCCCCUGCCCCCACCCGCUCCCCGGCCCCUCCGAUUCCCCGCCCCGCGCGCCGCGACGGCGAUGCUCCGCCCCUCCCCGCUGCUGCCCGUGCCCGGCGCCUCCGCCUCCGCGACGGCGGCCCCGCCCGGCAGGGCCGCCAGCAUGCGGAUGUUCCACGGCGACGUGUUCCUCGGCGAGGCGGACGUCUUCCCGAUCAAGCCCGGGCCCGAGGGCGCCCUGCCCUUCCCCAGCAACGAGAUCCGCAUCAGCCACCUCUCGCCGGCCAGCGAGCGCUGCCCGCCCCUCGCCAUCCUGCAGACCAUCGCGCCCUUCUCCGUGCGCUGCAAGCUCCAGGCCAGGCCGCUCCCUCCCCACCCCAGCCUCCACCGCCUCUACCUCACCUGCUUCAACGAGUACAAGAGCGCGGUGGUGGUGGUCGGAGACGAGGAGCUGCACCUGGUGGCAAUGCCGAGCAAGGUGGAGAAGGUGCCGUGCUUCUGGUGCUGCUCUGUGCGGGCUGGGCUCUAUGCAGCGUCCGUGGGGAUGCUCAACCUCCGCUGCCUUGCUAUUGUGUUUGAUCUUGAUGAGACCCUCAUCGUUGCUAACACGAUGAGGUCCUUUGAGAGCCGGAUCGAGAUGCUUUCCCGUAGGAUGGACAUUGAGGAUGACCCUGUCAGGGUAGCGGGGAUGUCUGCAGAAAUCAAGCGGUAUAUUGAGGACAGGGAGCUUCUCAAGGAGUUCAUUGACACAGACACUGUUACAGACAAUGGCAGAAUUGUUGGCACCCAGAAGGAGGAGGUUCAGCCUAUGCCUGGUGUCCAGGAGCGUCUUGUUCGGCCUGUAAUCAGGUUGCCCGAGAGGAAUGCUAUUCUGACCCGCAUCAAUCCAGAGAUUCGCGAUACCAGUGUUUUUGUGAAGCUAAGGCCUGCCUGGGAGGAUUUGAGAAGUUACCUAACUGCCAAGGGACGCAAAAGAUUUGAGGUCUAUGUGUGUACAAUGGCUGAAAGAGAUUAUGCUCUUGAGAUAUGGAGACUUCUUGAUCCAGAAGCCAAUUUGAUCAGCUUGAAUAAUCUUUCAGAUCGUGUAGUAUGUGUAAAAGCAGGUUCCAAGAAGUCCCUGCAGCAUGUUUUUAGAGAAGGAGGAUGCCAUCCAAAGAUGGCCAUGGUGAUUGAUGAUAGGCUGCAAGUUUGGGAUGAGAAAGAUCAGCAUCGAGUUCAUGUCGUCCCUGCCUAUGCUCCAUACUAUGCCCCACAAGCCGAGAUGGCAAACGCUGUUCCAGUGCUCUGUGUUGCGAGAAAUGUUGCUUGCAAUGUUCGUGGUGGUUUCUUCAGGGAAUUUGAUGAAAAUCUACUGAAGAAAGUAUUUGAACUAUUGUACGAAAAUGAGUUACUGGAUCUUCCCUAUGCUCCAGAUGUCGGUGACUACUUAGUCUCCGAGGACCCUAAUUUUCCACCAAGCAAUAAAGAUCCUGCCCCUAUACCUGAGGGUAUGAGUGGAGCUGAAGUAGAGAAGAGAUUGAAUGGGCGGGCAUAUCAGGGGGACCAAAAACAGAUAUCGUCAUCAAUCCGUCCAUCAGAUGAUGCACGAGUGGCAAUCCGGGGAACUCUAGGCAGUUCAAAUGUGCAACCCAAUGGGGGCUCAAUGGCAAUUGUCCCUUCUUUGUUUGUCACGGUAUUGCAAGAAAUUGGACGACUAUGCAAUUCGAAGGUGGAGUUUAGGUCUACUGUAAGCACCAGCAAAAUUACACAAUUUUCUGUUGAGGUUCUAUUUAGUAAUGAAAAAAUUGGAAAUGGCAUUGGAAAAACAAGAGAUGAAGCUCAAGUACAAGCUGCUGAAAAAGCUCUCCAAAAUUUGCAAAGCAAUUACUUGUCAUAUGUUGCUCCUAUCGCUGGAGUUCUUAACAAAGACACAAGCAACUCUUCUAGGAAUGGAAAUGGCUUUCUGGAAGACGAUCUGGAUUCAGAUGGUGAUACUGCCAUGCAAGAACCAUCUGGAAGUAAAUCAGAACAGAAGGAUCAUUCAAAUGUGGAUAGGUUGCCCUCUGUAUUAAGUCUUAUUAGAGAACUUUGCUUGGAGGAUCAACAUGUAGUAUUUCGAGAUCAAGUCCGGAAUCCUGGCUCAGCAACCAAUGAAGAAUACCAUUUCCAGUUGUGACCAGUUCUCAUCUGUGCGGCUGUGCCCAGUACCUGUCUUUGGCUGGACGCCGGUGGGUGCUGCCAGUAUUGGUAAAUGAUCCGCUGGGUCUGCUAAAGGGUUGCAGUAUAAGCCAGAAGGCCGACGACCUUUUCACUGAAACAAACUGGUGUCUUCAAAGUUGAACUAGCGGGACAGAUUCUUGGGAAUGGUAUUGGUGUGAACAAAGAUUUCGCGAAGCUUCAGGCGGCAGAAGAGGCGCUGAGGUUCUUGAAAACAACCACUGACCCACAGAUUAAGAAGCAUUUGAGACCAAUAAGAUGCAGCAGUUGAUUUCUUCACCCUCUGGCCCCAACCAAAUGAGUUGAAAGAAAGUGGAAUGUGGAAUCAAUCCCUCAGCCAUUAGCACACCUUUAGCCUUCGGAUAGGCAACUUUUGGAAGUGGCAUUACGGAGAGCGGGACGUGGUGCUCCGUCGAAUCUUGUGACCACCUUCGCCGGAGAAUCUUCUCGGAGACUAUUUUGCCUCCGGGCAACUACAACUGCAGCCGUAGUCAUCUCGGUAGGAUGCUGGCGUAGUUGGCUGUAAACAGGUAGGAAUGUAGGAUUAGUCGUGAAUAGUAACUGUUUGCCUGAUGGAUGCGGUUGCUUGUAAAUUGUUCAGGGGCAUUGAAACUGGAAUGCUCGUGCUGAUUUCAAAGUUUAUAUGUUCAUAAGCGGUGGUGAUGUUC
Non-coding RNA from Triticum urartu, 2955 nucleotides. NCBI's taxonomy places the organism in Eukaryota, Viridiplantae, Streptophyta, Magnoliopsida, Poales, Poaceae. The record is from RefSeq and is a predicted model, not a curated record.